Long non-coding RNA from Dermacentor silvarum, 7889 nucleotides. RefSeq lists it as uncharacterized. The record is from RefSeq and is a predicted model, not a curated record. NCBI's taxonomy places the organism in Eukaryota, Metazoa, Arthropoda, Arachnida, Ixodida, Ixodidae. The transcript is spliced from 2 exons.
UCUCGAAAGUACUGAUACCUCACAGUAGUUGCUCACGCCGACGGCAUAAACUACUAUUCAGUCAUCCACGCAGUGCUGAAGUACCCCGCAGCUGCCUCGCCUGCAUGCGCUCUUGAAAAAGCAAGUUUAUAGAGGAAAUGACAAAUAAUUCUUGCACAAGUGUCUGGUGCAGAGCGAAAUCUUCACGCUACGGUUCGCAAAAACCUGACCGGCACUUCCACGGUCGCUUGCUCUUCUUCGUCGCUUGAUGCGGAAGGCUUGUAACCGUAAGCGGUAAUAUUCCUUGCCAAGUUGGAAUGGUCCUCUUCUUCAGACGUGUACUUGCGAUGGCGGCGUUGGCGUGCUGCAAACGAUUGCGGCCGGCCGGCUGGCUAUCCAACGAGCGUGACGUGACGCCUUCCAACUCCCGCAGGUCGGGCGGUGAGGCGCGCGCUCACAAAAACGUCAAAAAUAAAACCAUCGGCUCAAAAAUGAGCUAAGUGACUACUUCUUUUCGGUGAAAUCACACACUGGGGAUUCAUUUUCAGCAUAUUCCUAAAAUUUUCAGAUUUUGUGUCCGUAUCCCUUUAAGCACUCGUUGAGUGUGUGACCAUGCGCAUUGUAAUUCUGUGGUGUGUUAUAAUGCAACACACUGCUGCUCUCCAUUCCAUUGCGGGCUGAAGGACUGCCUGAACGGUCGAGUGCAUGCGAAAUAUUAAAGAAAGCAGUACUGUCUCUCUACUGUUGUUGCAAAAUUUUUAUUUUUGUGGCCAUUUUUUUCGGUCAUGUCUUCUGUUUAGCAAACUUUUUUUGUAUGGUACCAAAGUCAAGCUGUGAGUGAAAAAGUGUUUUAUUAAUUUUCCCUUAGAUCCUCUUUAGAGACAUGCAGUCGUGCUCAGUUUUUUCUGAAUGGUGGGGUACAUUGACUUGUUUCAGUCCUGUGCUCGUGUGUGCUGCUAGCUGAUGAGUCUGUAAUGAAUUUGGCUGCAAGGCAGUUUUUCAUUUAGUGUAAGGAUUUUCUUGCACACUUCAUUCAUCACGCUUUCUUUUGAGCAGAAUUAUAUAAAGUAGACCGCUAUUAAAAAAUAUCUACGGGGUUCUCCUUUUUUCACCUCUCGCAAAGCCAGACACUGUGUGCAGUGUUGCCUGCAAAAAUAAUAGCACCUGUAUACCAGCUGUCCCAACUUCUAAAUGUGACCAAGAAUUAAAAAAAAUAACAGCCUUAUGCAGAUGACUGCAUGUUCAUGUUUUUAUUUUUUAAAUUGUAUCAGGUUUUAUCACCUCACUUUUAAUUAAUUUCCCUAAUGCAUAGCACAUCAAUGGAAAAGUAGUUGAGGAUGUCCUGAAAUUACGGAUAACAGCGUUCAAAGGAGCCCUAGGUCUUGUGUUGUUUUUUUUUCUACAACAAAGAAAGCCUGCGAUACUUUUAAAAUACCACGUGACAAUGUGUCUGCAUGCCAGGGGCUGCAGCGCUUGCAAACGUAAACCUCGUCAAACACGGUUCCAGCUUAUCGCACUGGGAACAAGCAGCUGCUCUCUUUCCCUGGUGCGUCAGCAGCUUUUGGUGUAAAUCUUUUGGAUCAUCUAGGUCGAUCUUGAGGACGGGUAGGUGGUGUCCUCAUUCCAGGACUCCACUGGCCAUGGCUGCUCGACGUACUUGCUGGACGAGAGCUUCUUGUCCCGCCAGGGUAUUGCCAGUCAGCUGUACCUCCCACCGCUCAAAUGAUGUGCUAGGCGUAAGUGUUGAGGUUUGCCCCCGCACCCCCACGAGAUGUGAAAGAGUGUAGGGCGGGUGUCGCCGCACUAGGGGCAGAUGCCGCGAUAUUUUUGUGGGUAUAUUUUGCUGUAUUUGUGUGGGUUUGGGAAUGUGUUUUUUUGGAUAAGCCCGAGAGCUACUGCCUCUUCAGUGCUGAGCAUUUUGUGAGGGGGAGGAUAAAUCCUGCGGUUGAGUAGCUGGAUCUUGAGUCGGUUGUUGUAAUUGAAUGGCAGGGGCACGAAGGUAAAGGGUGGGGUUUGAUGAGACGAUUGGUUUUGCCUUGCUCGGUUGAUUAGCGCUCGAGCUAAGUCGUUCGCCCUUUCGUUCCCCCCCAGUCCCAUGAUGACUCGGCGUCCACGUGAUUUGAUGGGAUUCAGGUGGUCCAAAUUUUCGGAGUCCCCCACUACGGCGUGCCUCACAAUCAGAUCGUGGUUUUGGCACGUAAAACGCCAUAAUUUUAUUUGAUGGGAUUCUUGCAGCCUCGGGCCUAGAAUCUUAGCCGCCAGCAGUGGUGUUUGUCCGUUCGUAAAGUUAUGGCAGGCCUCUUGCGAGUCGGUAAUAACAUGAACUUCCCUGCCCACCCUGUCAUGUUGUUUUAUUACUAGCGCUGCAGCUGGGGUCUCUGCCCUAACGGAGGCCGCAAGGGUCAAGGAGUUGUCUCUCCCGUUCAUGGUGGCUACCGCGAAGAGGCCCCCUGAAGCGUACGCCGCCACGUCCACGUACAUUACGUACGGGUCACCCUUGAAUUGUCGGCGCUGUCUGGCGAUGCGAGCCUUGCGUCCUCCUUCGUGGAGUUUGACUCAUGUGCUUCGGGAUGGGGCUCGCCGUGAUCUUGCUUUUGACCUCGGGCGGGAGUGAUUGUUGCCCAUCGAGGGCACGAAGCUCUGUUGCUGUUCCGGUGUUGUAGAUCCCGAGAGCCGCUAACUUCUCGGUUGAGGUGGUGACAGGGAGACCCAGGGCCGUUUUGUACGCGCCUCUGAUGAUGGCAUAGACUUGUUCUUGGUCGCAUUUGUUUAGCGAGUGGUAAUGAUGCGGCAUGCUAUACGUUACUCUGCUGAUCACCAGAGCCUGGACGAGGUGGAGCGUGUCCUCUUCUCGCAUUCCCUUGCGGCUUCUUGUUAUUCGUUUGAUAAUCCGCGAGAUCUGGUUGGUGGUGGACCUUAGGGUUUGGAUGGUGUGGGUGGCUUUCAAGUUGUUCUGGAUCCAAAAACCCAGUAUCCUAGUCUUUUUGCUUUCCGUGAUCUUGUGGUCCUCUAGAUAGAGUUCGAUAGGGCCGGGGGACUUGUAGAUUCCUCCUCCGUGCACCCGGAUCACCUCGGACUUCUCGGGCGCGUAAUGCAUCCCGCUCACUGCCGCAAAUCUCUCCACGGCCGUCACGGUCUCCUGAAGGGUCGCCUCUUUUCGCGCGAGAGAGCCCUUGGUGGCCCAGAGCGUGAUGUCGUCUGCUUAUAGGGCGUAACCUAGGUCCGGGAUCUUCCGCAGCUCUUUGGUCAGCGCUAGCAUCGCGACAUUGAAGAAAAUUGGGGAGACUAUCGCCCCUUGCGGUGUUCCUUUGUUCGGUACAUCGAUCUUAUCCGAUAGAGUCUGGCCUAUUCCGAUGGUUUCCGUCCGGCCUGUCAAGACCGAUUUAACGUAAUUAAAGAUGCGCUCCCCGCAGCUGAUGUCGUUCAGUCCCUUCAGAAUGGCCUCGUGAGAGAUGUUAUCGAAGGCCCCUUCCAGGUCGAGUGCGAGCAGGAGGUGUUCUCCUCCCUUUGGGAUGCCCUUAAAAACUUCCUCCCUUAGGAUUAGGAAAGCAUCUUGCACAGAAAGUCCCGGCCUGAAGCCAAGCAUGGUGUGCGGGAAGAGGUCACCGUCCUCUAUGUAGUGUUAGAGGCGGGCUCCGAUGACCCUCUCGUACAGCUUGCCGAGGCAUGAAAUCAGCGAGAUGGGACGCAGGGUGUCGAUCGCGGGCUUCUUGCCGGGUAUGGGAAUCGUCACGAUUUCCACGUGUUUCCACUCGUUCAGUACAUGGCCCUUGCUCCAGAGUUCCUCGUUUAGGUAUUCGGUCAAGUCCAGGAUGUGCAUCGGACUCGGGUUUCUAAUCAUGGCAUUCGUGAUUUUGUCAGCCCCGGGAGCAGUGUUGCGCUGUGAGGCUCGUGCCACGGUAUACACCUCUUCCUCCGUGAUCGGAGCGUCCAGUUCUGGUCUUAGUUCCCCUUCGUAUUUUAGGAGGCAGGGUCGUAUGGGGUCACUACCCAGGUAUCUAGUUUUUAGGGUGUCAAUCAGAUCCUGGUCAUUCCCGAGGAAUUUGUGAGCGAUUUCUUAAAGCGUCCGACUGGUUGUCGAUUUGGCCUUGCCGGGCUCGAUCAGGCAACACAGGAUGGCCCACGUCUUCGCCGUAUUCGGGGUACCCUUGAGCGAGGUGCAAAACUGUACCCAAUUUUGCUGCGUCAGCUUGGUCGCGUAAUCUCUGGCUUCUUCUGUUACAUGCGCAAUUCGUAAACGGAGUUUCUGGUUUAACCACUGUCGCUUCCACCAUUUGAGGAGGCCCUCACGGGCUUCCCACAGGUGUAAGAGCCGGCGGUCGACUUCGGGCGUCUCGACCGUGCGCUAGAUGGUUUUGGUGGUUUGGAUGUGGGCGUCUCGGAGGUGCUUCAUCCAUUCCGCUAUGUCCGUUAUACCGCUUUCGGGUGGGGGGUACUGCCUGUACGCCUCCCAGUCCGUGAGCCUAAUUUCUCCAAUUGUUCUCUUGAGUUUCGGGGUGGACACCGAGAUGCUGAGGAUGUAGUGAUCGCUGCCCAGUGUUUCGCCCAGGUGCGUCCAUGAGCAUUCCCUUACGUUUUUGACAAGUGACAGGUCCGGAAACGUGUCUCGACUAACACUGUUGCCUACUCGGGUUGGUUAGAGGAGGUUGAUUAUCAAUUCAAGGCCCGUUUGGUCAACCGCAUCGAUGAGCAACCUCCCCUUCUGCGUGUCUUGUUGGUAGCCCCAAGCCGCGUGUCUAGCGUUCAUAUCUCCCACCACUACCAGCUGGUUGCAGCCAGCGGCUCUCACUGUCGUAGAUGAUGUUGCUGAAGUCGUCCUUUUGAGCCCUCAGCGUACUGUACAAAUUCAGGAUGAAAGUGCUCCCCUCUUCUGCGGGAGUACUUCCGCUGGCACGUGAUUAAUGUCAUGAUGUUGAUAAUGUUCUCCCACGGCCGUCACAUUUUGUGAAUUAAAACCUUUGGUGAUUCCACGUGUUUAAUUACGUAGUAACCACGUAGCUUGAUGGGCUGGUUCCCGACCUCUUGAAGGCAGAUGUGCGCAAGAUUUUCAGCAUACUAGCUGGUGAGGUUUACAUUUACGAGUCUUCGCUAGUUGUCGCAUGGUAUUUAUAAACUUAAGCUGGCUUUCUUUUUUUCGUCGGAUAAAGAGGACUGCACAAGACCUAGGUUGCUAUUCGUGCGGUUGUCGCUCAUUCGUUGACAUGCUCCACAACGUUUGCAUUGAUGCCUUAUCAAUUAGGUGAUUGAAUUGAAAGUUUGCUCAGUAAACCUAGUAAUUUUAGCUAAUUGAAAUUAACGCUUGACUAGCCUAAACGACGCUCAUCAACUUGGUGAUUGCCAUUUGUGUGAUGCCCUCUGUUGUUUUUUCAUUCUUGGCGACAUUUAUUUGGAACAAGCGUUAUGUCUCGGAGUGACAAUGUUGCUUUGUCUCAUGUCCUUGGCCACGCAGUCCCUUUUUGAUUGAUUGACGGGGUUCAAUAUUCCAAAGGAUCACAGGGGGCUAUAAGAGAUGCCGUAGCAGCAAAUUAAUUUUGACCACCUGGGGUUCUUCAGCAAGUACCCAGAGUUUGGUACUUAAGAAUUUUUGCAUUCAGAGUGGGACAGCCUCGACAAACAGUUAAAGCUGCUACUUCAUGCUCAGUGGCACAACAUAGGCACUGCAGCAUGUACCGAUUGCUUUUAUUCUGCCCUCAGUUUAAAGGGACACUAAAGGCAAAUACUAAGUCGACGUGGACUGUUUAAAUACCUUUCCAGAAACCUCAAAACACUUGGUCUCGUGCAAAGAAAAGACACGAAAAAAUUGGAUCUCAAGGGUCCAAAUACCUUUAUUGCAAUUCAAAUCACCCGCCACGCCAACCGAGGAGUGGUGACGUUGCAUACGCCAUUUUCUGCCGUUGGUGAGUGUAACGGCGCCCGACAGAUGGCGGUACGGCGCGCCGCUGCAACUGAUUUUCGUAAAGUGGCGUAGACCGUUCGGGCAUUCCGCGACGUCGCAUGGAAGUGAAAUUCUCUGCUACUUGCAGUUAGUGCGAGGUUCGCGAGCCAGAAAAACAAGCGCAACACUUCACGAUAACAGAAAAACUGAAACGCGAAAGUGCGGGCGGCGCAGAGUCGAGCGAACGCGAAACCUUUUGACAGCCCACGUUGUUGUCAACGGUGUAAUGUCAGUUAGUUCUUUUUUGUAAAAGUGUAAUAGAACUGGUGAAGUAGUAUUUUCUUUCUUCUUAUAAUACAGUAUAAUGAUGUUUCAUAACGAGUGGUUCACUACUAGUGACAGAAUUUAAAUGAGGAGUGCCUCCGUCAUCGGGCGAGUACUUGAAUGUCCCGGGGGAGUCGCUAAUCAUGUCCUGCAUUUACCUUAAUUUCUCUAUUACUAAGGCUCUGCUCGUGAUAAUAUUGACGCUUUAGAGAUACUCGUGCACUAAUGCAUCACUUUAGCUUGACUUAGUAUUUGGCUUUAGUGUCCCUUUAACCUUUGCUUCCACAGCAUGGCACAUCUGCAAGAUAUGCACCGAUGGAAACAUUAACCAGUGGACGGUUGUCACGUGCAAAGCUUACAUUGUGCCAUUGCAGUAAAUUCAUGAUGCACAGACAGAACAGAAUUUUGUAAAUAUUGAGCUGCUAGCAUCGCUGUAGGCUCUACGUCUUAAACAGAAAAAAAGUUACUCGCAUGGCAUGUGCAUCUACAGUAUACCUGUUGAGCUGAGUAGUUUUUUUUUUCAGAGGGCUAUGGGCCCUGACCUGAUGCAUGUGAGCAUACAGCAUGAAGCAUUGCAAGCUCGCACUAAGCAGGAUGUUUAAAAAAAUGUUUGAAAUUCCUUAUUGAAAUUCCUGUUUGAAAUUCCACGCUGCGGGGCGGUAACGGUCCAUACGGAGGAGGCUGCUUGGGGGGCAGCGGGGGUGAUGCCGGAGGCUCCGGGUUGCGGUACUUGGGUCAUGGUAGUGGACAGGCGGAGCAAACGGCGACCCGAACGAAGCUCCAGUGGAACUCGACGGCGUAGAGGUCUAGGGGAUCGAAAGCAAUCUCCACCACUUUGUAAGGCAGCAGCACAGUUGUAUCGUCGCCUUUAUUCGGCUGAGCCACGCGCUGAACGAAGACGACGCGCACAGUGAUGAUGAUUAUGUACAGGUGAAGAAGAUGAAGGAUUAAUAUUUUGCUCACAAUAUAUAUAAUAUAGGGAAGACAAGUGAUUUCUUAAGGAUUGCUUUUACCACACCAAGGCAACAUUGAGGGGAAUGCCGAGGACAAUGCCAUUGUGAUUUUUCCGAUGAAUUUUAUUGGGAAGUCUGGGAGAAGUGUCUCCUUAGCUCCCCUCCUAAUAUAGAAUUUUAUUCUCACCUACGCUCUCAGACUUUUUAUCUAGCUGGGUUUGUCAUGGUGCAAACACAACGUGCAUCUUACCAUAGUUACCCUCAGCCUUCUAAGGACUACCUGCGUACUUUGCGGCAGAGUUGCAAAAUCAGUCUAGUUCUGCAGAGUAAUGAAUUCUGGCCAAUUUCACACCACAGUAUCGAAACUGAAAUGCCAGAGUGUGCAACUGUUGUGCCCCUAGUAGAUGCUCGCUAGUGACAUUUCUGCCUCCCAGUCUCCUUUAUAAAGCUGCAAUAUCCCUUGCUUAAUGCCUUGUCUGACGGCGAGACCAAAAUGGUCACGUCACUUGUGUGCACUUUUCAGCGUUUUGGUUUCGAUUUUCUGGGUUAAACUGGCAAGAACCUGCUACUGCAUCUCUCUCUAGUCCUGUGCAAGUCUGCAAGUGAUUAUGGUCUCUUUGAACAACAGGUUUCAAGUCUCAAAUUUUAACCUAUUGUCUCUUUCCAUUAAAGUUGGUCUAAGUUUAGUAAUUUUGUAAUUACUGGCUCGAGUCAUUUUAAGAUGCACACCGCUGUAUUAAACUGAUGAAAUCCGGUAA